UAUCCUAACCGUGCGAAGGUAGCGUAAUCACUUGUUCUUUAAAUGGGGACUAGUAUGAAUGGCACCACGAGGGUUAUACUGUCUCCCUUUUCCAAUCAGUGAAACUAAUCUCCCUGUGAAGAAGCGGGGAUAAAAAUAUAAGACGAGAAGACCCUAUGGAGCUUUAAAUUUCAAUUCAAAGCAUAAUGAAAUAGAAUUUUAGGUUGGGGUGACCGCGGAGUACGGAACAACCUCCACAUUGAACUAGGCCUAUUACCUUGAGCAACGAACUACAAUCCUAUGCACAAAAAAAUUUACAUUCAUUGACCCAAUUUUUUUGAUCAACGAACCAAGUUACCCUAGGGAUAACAGCGCAAUCCUCUUCAAGAGCCCCUAUCGCCAAGAGGGUUUACGACCUCGAUGUUGGAUCAGGGUAUCCCAGUGGCGCAGCCGCUACUAAUGGUUCGUUUGUUCAACGAUUAAAACCCUACGUGAUCU
RNAcentral lists this ribosomal RNA (477 nucleotides) under Scinax constrictus. RNAcentral describes it as "partial large subunit ribosomal RNA". It matches the Rfam family "Bacterial large subunit ribosomal RNA", at positions 1938 to 2606 of the family's 2925-position model. Lineage: Eukaryota; Metazoa; Chordata; Amphibia; Anura; Hylidae. The record is from RNAcentral.